This 464-nucleotide long non-coding RNA is filed under the name Homo sapiens (human). Its description in RNAcentral is "PREDICTED lncRNA (TCONS_00124766)". The record is from RNAcentral. Lineage: Eukaryota; Metazoa; Chordata; Mammalia; Primates; Hominidae.
CUUCUACGCUGUGGAAGCUUUGUUCUUUCACUCUUUGCAAUAAAUCUUGCUGCUGCUCGCUCUUUGGGGCCACACUGCCUUUAUGAGCUGUAACACUCACCGGGAGGGUCUGCAGCUUCACUCCUGAAGCCAGCGAGACCACCAACCCACCAGAAGGAAGAAACUCCGAACACGUCUGAACAUCAGAAGGAAAAGACUCCGGACACGCCGCCUUUGAGAACUGUAACACUCACCGCGAGGGGCCACGGCUUCAUUCUUGAAUGAGAUGAACCCGGUACCUCAGAUGGAAAUGCAGAAAUCACCCGUCUUCUGCGUCGCUCACGCUGGGAGCUGUAGACCGGAGCUGUUCCUAUUCGGCCAUCUUGGCUCCUCCCUCUGAAGGCUACAGACACUUAUUGAGCAUCUACUAGAUGCCAAAUUCUGUGCUGCUGCUACAAUCCAUUGAGACUUUAACACCCACAUGG